GGUUCGACGGCGUAGUUAGUUAUCGCAUCUGUCCAACAUGGUCUGCACAGCAGGUGCCCAGUUCGAGUCUGGGUCGAAUCA
Non-coding RNA from Paramarasmius palmivorus, 81 nucleotides. NCBI's taxonomy places the organism in Eukaryota, Fungi, Basidiomycota, Agaricomycetes, Agaricales, Marasmiaceae. The record is from the annotation of a GenBank genome assembly.